Small nuclear RNA from Sorex araneus (European shrew), 107 nucleotides. NCBI's taxonomy places the organism in Eukaryota, Metazoa, Chordata, Mammalia, Eulipotyphla, Soricidae. The record is from Ensembl.
GAACUCACUUUGGCAGCUCACGUACUAAUAUAGGAACAAUACAGAGAAGAUUAGCGAAGCCCCUGUGUAAGGGUGACAUGCAAAUUUGUGAAGCACAGACAGGAGGG